Molecule: ribosomal RNA, 435 nt
Filed under: uncultured bacterium
Lineage: Bacteria
Description: bacterial SSU rRNA
Rfam family: Bacterial small subunit ribosomal RNA
Source: RNAcentral
UCGAGGAUCUUCGGCAAUGGGCGCAAGCCUGACCGAGCGACGCCGCGUGCGCGAUGAAGGCCUUCGGGUUGUAAAGCGCUGUCGAGGGGAAGAAAAGCCCGCAAGGGUUUGAUCGACCCCUGGAGGAAGCACGGGCUAAGUUCGUGCCAGCAGCCGCGGUAAGACGAACCGUGCGAACGUUGUUCGGAAUCACUGGGCUUAAAGGGCGCGUAGGCGGGCCAUCAAGUCAGGGGUGAAAUCCUCCAGCUCAACUGGAGAACAGCUUUUGAUACUGGUGGUCUCGAGGGGGGUAGGGGCAUGUGGAACUUCCGGUGGAGCGGUGAAAUGCGUAGAUAUCGGAAGGAACGCCGGUGGCGAAAGCGACGUGCUGGACCCUUUCUGACGCUGAGGCGCGAAAGCCAGGGGAGCAAACGGGAUUAGAUACCCCCGUAGUCC